This is a non-coding RNA of Myriangium duriaei CBS 260.36, 72 nucleotides long. NCBI's taxonomy places the organism in Eukaryota, Fungi, Ascomycota, Dothideomycetes, Myriangiales, Myriangiaceae. The record is from the annotation of a GenBank genome assembly.
GGGCAUCUGGCGCAGUGGUAGCGCGUUCCGUUUGCAUCGGAAAGGUCUAGGGUUCGAUCCCCUAGUUGUCCA